This 3003-nucleotide ribosomal RNA is filed under the name Escherichia coli. RNAcentral's name for it is "bacterial LSU rRNA". It matches the Rfam family "Bacterial large subunit ribosomal RNA". Lineage: Bacteria; Pseudomonadati; Pseudomonadota; Gammaproteobacteria; Enterobacterales; Enterobacteriaceae. The record is from RNAcentral.
AGCGUACACGGUGGAUGCCCUGGCAGUCAGAGGCGAUGAAGGACGUGCUAAUCUGCGAUAAGCGUCGGUAAGGUGAUAUGAACCGUUAUAACCGGCGAUUUCCGAAUGGGGAAACCCAGUGUGAUUCGUCACACUAUCAUUAACUGAAUCCAUAGGUUAAUGAGGCGAACCGGGGGAACUGAAACAUCUAAGUACCCCGAGGAAAAGAAAUCAACCGAGAUUCCCCCAGUAGCGGCGAGCGAACGGGGAGCAGCCCAGAGCCUGAAUCAGUGUGUGUGUUAGUGGAAGCGUCUGGAAAGGCGCGCGAUACAGGGUGACAGCCCCGUACACAAAAAUGCACAUACUGUGAGCUCGAUGAGUAGGGCGGGACACGUGGUAUCCUGUCUGAAUAUGGGGGGACCAUCCUCCAAGGCUAAAUACUCCUGACUGACCGAUAGUGAACCAGUACCGUGAGGGAAAGGCGAAAAGAACCCCGGCGAGGGGAGUGAAAAAGAACCUGAAACCGUGUACGUACAAGCAGUGGGAGCACAGAGCAAUCUGUGUGACUGCGUACCUUUUGUAUAAUGGGUCAGCGACUUAUAUUCUGUAGCAAGGUUAACCGAAUAGGGGAGCCGAAGGGAAACCGAGUCUUAACUGGGCGUUAAGUUGCAGGGUAUAGACCCGAAACCCGGUGAUCUAGCCAUGGGCAGGUUGAAGGUUGGGUAACACUAACUGGAGGACCGAACCGACUAAUGUUGAAAAAUUAGCGGAUGACUUGUGGCUGGGGGUGAAAGGCCAAUCAAACCGGGAGAUAGCUGGUUCUCCCCGAAAGCUAUUUAGGUAGCGCCUCGUGAAUUCAUCUCCGGGGGUAGAGCACUGUUUCGGCAAGGGGGUCAUCCCGACUUACCAACCCGAUGCAAACUGCGAAUACCGGAGAAUGUUAUCACGGGAGACACACGGCGGGUGCUAACGUCCGUCGUGAAGAGGGAAACAACCCAGACCGCCAGCUAAGGUCCCAAAGUCAUGGUUAAGUGGGAAACGAUGUGGGAAGGCCCAGACAGCCAGGAUGUUGGCUUAGAAGCAGCCAUCAUUUAAAGAAAGCGUAAUAGCUCACUGGUCGAGUCGGCCUGCGCGGAAGAUGUAACGGGGCUAAACCAUGCACCGAAGCUGCGGCAGCGACGCUUAUGCGUUGUUGGGUAGGGGAGCGUUCUGUAAGCCUGCGAAGGUGUGCUGUGAGGCNUAAAGAAAGCGUAAUAGCUCACUGGUCGAGUCGGCCUGCGCGGAAGAUGUAACGGGGCUAAACCAUGCACCGAAGCUGCGGCAGCGACACUAUGUGUUGUUGGGUAGGGGAGCGUUCUGUAAGCCUGUGAAGGUGUACUGUGAGGUNCCUGCGAAGGUGUGCUGUGAGGCAUGCUGGAGGUAUCAGAAGUGCGAAUGCUGACAUAAGUAACGAUAAAGCGGGUGAAAAGCCCGCUCGCCGGAAGACCAAGGGUUCCUGUCCAACGUUAAUCGGGGCAGGGUGAGUCGACCCCUAAGGCGAGGCCGAAAGGCGUAGUCGAUGGGAAACAGGUUAAUAUUCCUGUACUUGGUGUUACUGCGAAGGGGGGACGGAGAAGGCUAUGUUGGCCGGGCGACGGUUGUCCCGGUUUAAGCGUGUAGGCUGGUUUUCCAGGCAAAUCCGGAAAAUCAAGGCUGAGGCGUGAUGACGAGGCACUACGGUGCUGAAGCAACAAAUGCCCUGCUUCCAGGAAAAGCCUCUAAGCAUCAGGUAACAUCAAAUCGUACCCCAAACCGACACAGGUGGUCAGGUAGAGAAUACCAAGGCGCUUGAGAGAACUCGGGUGAAGGAACUAGGCAAAAUGGUGCCGUAACUUCGGGAGAAGGCACGCUGAUAUGUAGGUGAAGCGACUUGCUCGNCGGGAGAAGGCACGCUGAUAUGUAGGUGAAGUCCCUCGCGGAUGGAGCUGAAAUCAGUCGAAGAUACCAGCUGGCUGCAACUGUUUAUUAAAAACACAGCACUGUGCAAACACGAAAGUGGACGUAUACGGUGUGACGCCUGCCCGGUGCCGGAAGGUUAAUUGAUGGGGUUAGCGCAAGCGAAGCUCUUGAUCGAAGCCCCGGUAAACGGCGGCCGUAACUAUAACGGUCCUAAGGUAGCGAAAUUCCUUGUCGGGUAAGUUCCGACCUGCACGAAUGGCGUAAUGAUGGCCAGGCUGUCUCCACCCGAGACUCAGUGAAAUUGAACUCGCUGUGAAGAUGCAGUGUACCCGCGGCAAGACGGAAAGACCCCGUGAACCUUUACUAUAGCUUGACACUGAACAUUGAGCCUUGAUGUGUAGGAUAGGUGGGAGGCUUUGAAGUGUGGACGCCAGUCUGCAUGGAGCCGACCUUGAAAUACCACCCUUUAAUGUUUGAUGUUCUAACGUUGACCCGUAAUCCGGGUUGCGGACAGUGUCUGGUGGGUAGUUUGACUGGGGCGGUCUCCUCCUAAAGAGUAACGGAGGAGCACGAAGGUUGGCUAAUCCUGGUCGGACAUCAGGAGGUUAGUGCAAUGGCAUAAGCCAGCUUGACUGCGAGCGUGACGGCGCGAGCAGGUGCGAAAGCAGGUCAUAGUGAUCCGGUGGUUCUGAAUGGAAGGGCCAUCGCUCAACGGAUAAAAGGUACUCCGGGGAUAACAGGCUGAUACCGCCCAAGAGUUCAUAUCGACGGCGGUGUUUGGCACCUCGAUGUCGGCUCAUCACAUCCUGGGGCUGAAGUAGGUCCCAAGGGUAUGGCUGUUCGCCAUUUAAAGUGGUACGCGAGCUGGGUUUAGAACGUCGUGAGACAGUUCGGUCCCUAUCUGCCGUGGGCGCUGGAGAACUGAGGGGGGCUGCUCCUAGUACGAGAGGACCGGAGUGGACGCAUCACUGGUGUUCGGGUUGUCAUGCCAAUGGCACUGCCCGGUAGCUAAAUGCGGAAGAGAUAAGUGCUGAAAGCAUCUAAGCACGAAACUUGCCCCGAGAUGAGUUCUCCCUGACUCCUUGA